CAAUAGCGUAUAUUAAAGUUGUUGCGGUUAAAAAGCUCGUAGUUGGAUUUCUGCCGAGGACGACCGGUCCGCCCUCUGGGUGAGUAUCUGGCUCGGCCUGGGCAUCUUCUUGGAGAACGUAGCUGCACUUGACUGUGUGGUGCGGUAUCCAGGACUUUUACUUUGAGGAAAUUAGAGUGUUUCAAGCAGGCUUACGCCUUGAAUACAUUAGCAUGGAAUAAUAAGAUAGGACCUCGGUUCUAUUUUGUUGGUUUCUAGAGCUGAGGUAAUGAUUAAUAGGGAUAGUUGGGGGCAUUCGUAUUUAACUGUCAGAGGUGAAAUUCUUGGAUUUGCUGAAGAUGAACAACUGCGAAAGCAUUUACCAAGGAUGUUUUCAUUAA
This 380-nucleotide ribosomal RNA is filed under the name uncultured eukaryote. RNAcentral's name for it is "partial 18S ribosomal RNA". It matches the Rfam family "Eukaryotic small subunit ribosomal RNA", at positions 592 to 976 of the family's 1831-position model. The record is from RNAcentral.